AGAUUUUCCAAGACUGAUAGUGGUUGGACAAAAAGUGUGGAAGAGAGAGCUGAGGACAGAGCAGAGGAGGAAAGACCAUCAUCACCUCUCUGUGAUCACAGGGCUGUAUCUCCAGACAUUCAGUUUGUUUCUGACCAUGAGGCUGGGCCGUCAGAGUCUAUGAGGAGGCACACUUCAGUCCAGCAGCCGGACAGCAGAGCACAUCCCUCAGAGAUCAGAUUGGCUGAUGACCAGAUAGAGAUGAUAUCUCAGCGUGUAGCUUCCAUACUAUCUCGUC
This 277-nucleotide long non-coding RNA is filed under the name Elaeis guineensis (African oil palm). RNAcentral describes it as "long non-coding RNA (EGUI_LNC078959)". The record is from RNAcentral. Lineage: Eukaryota; Viridiplantae; Streptophyta; Magnoliopsida; Arecales; Arecaceae.